GACAAACGCUGGCGGCAUGCCUAACACAUGCAAGUCGAACGGACAGAACAGGGAAGCUUUUCGGAGUGGAACUGGAAAGUUAGUGGCGGAUGGGUGAGUAACGCGUGGACAACCUACCUUGUAAAGGGGAAUAACCUCGAGAAAUCGAAGCUAAUACCCCAUAAUAACCUUGCUUCGCAUGAAGUAAGGAGGAAAGGCGGCCUUAGCGCUGUCGAUACAAGAUGGGUCCGCGUCUGAUUAGCUAGUUGGUGAGGUAAAGGCUCACCAAGGCGACGUUCAGUAGCCGGCCUGAGAGGGUGAACGGCCACAUUGGGACUGAGACACGGCCCAAACUCCUACGGGAGGCAGCAGUGGGGAAUCUUCCGCAAUGGGCGAAAGCCUGACGGAGCAAUGCCGCGUGAGUGAAGAAGGCCUUCGGGUUGUAAAACUCUGUCCUUAUCGAAGAGAGAGUGUUGUAGUAACUGACAAUACUAGGACGGUAGAUGAGGAGGAAGCCCCGGCUAACUAUGUG
Molecule: ribosomal RNA, 511 nt
Filed under: uncultured bacterium
Lineage: Bacteria
Description: partial 16S ribosomal RNA
Rfam family: Bacterial small subunit ribosomal RNA
Source: RNAcentral